Molecule: non-coding RNA, 2747 nt
Organism: Podarcis lilfordi (Lilford's wall lizard)
Lineage: Eukaryota; Metazoa; Chordata; Lepidosauria; Squamata; Lacertidae
Source: the annotation of a GenBank genome assembly
GUUCUCCAAAGACAGUGGUCUUAUUUCUUUAGUCUUUAAAUUUGAAUUUAAAAGUAGAGGUUCAGAAAGAUCUGUUACCACAAGGUUUCAUCAAGAAGUAGCAGUGAGCAGUCUGGGACUAACUCUUUCUCGGAAGAUCUCAGCUGGGCCACUACACCAGUGCAAGUAGAUAAAUAGGUACACUGCAGCAGGAAGGCAAAACUAUGUUUCCAUGCACUCUGGCACUUGUCACAGUGUCCCGUUCCGCCAGAAGCUAUUUAGUCAUGCUGGCCACAAGACCAGCUGUGGUAGAGUGUGUGUGUGUUUUUUAUUCAUAAAAGAAUAAGAAAAUCCAGAGAUAGACGGGAAUAAUUUUCAACUCUGAAUAUAUUUUGCCUUCUCUGGCAAAAUAGGGUAGCAGAAAAGAUGGGAAAACAAAGUUGUCUGAGGUUGGAGUGUGUCUCAUCUUUCCCCUUUCAGCUCUCCCCAAACACUGCACACUUAAACAAUGCUGUGACACUGUUUCAGUAUCUGUUCUCUCUCUGUUCAGCAUCUAUUAUCUUUUAAGGCUUACUUAUCAGGACCAACAAUGCUUGGACACGCACAGAAUCAAGCUUGCCUUACGAGCUCGUAAACUUAAAACCACCUUGGAUCAAAGUGCAGUCAAAGUUAACUGAAAAUCUUGGAGAGAAAUGAAUUUUUACACUAGCCCUACUAAUGAGCAAAGCAAUCUUAAUUUUAGUUAGCCAGCUGCAAAGCUGAACCUGCUGUCCUGUUGCAUUUGCCCUGUGCAGCAGGCAGCCACCUACUUCUACGCGAAUGAGUCUUUGGUCCAGUGAAUAUCAGUCUACAACUGAAGCAAAUGCUGUCUUUCCCUGCAAACUAGGCGACUCUGCAGUGACAGCAUACAAUAUCUGUUGACGAAUAUCAGGCCUUUACAAAUAAGACCUUUAAUUUCCUAUUUUUUUUUUCCAAUUGGGAAAGUUAUUUUUGCAUGCACAGUAUGUCCUGUGUUCAACGAACCGUAUUAUCACAAAGCCAGCCAGCAAUCUGCUAGUGAUAUUUCUUGGUCUGCAAGCAGUAUCUGCAGCCCAUAGGCUUUGCUGAGUGUUGACACUUCAGUAGCAAUCUCAUAAAGUAGCCAUCUAUGUGCUGUAAAAUAGUACAUCCCCAUCCACCUCCUUGCCACCUGCCAGCCCCAAUUUCUCCCUAGUACUAAACAUUCUGGGCUAAGCAGGCAUCAGGAUGCCAGGCCCUCUUCAGGAGUCCUCUCGAUAUUCUUCAGCGUCCUCAAAGGCCCUCUAAGAGACUCAGCUCUGCCAGAUCCCUGCCCAGUACCAGUUGAAGGAGUACUGGGGCUGUAAUGUUGCUAGAUGCUAUAUUCUGCUUUCUGGGGGACUCAAAAACAUAGGCCAGAGCAGGGUUGGCCAAUGUGCCCUCCAGAUCUCGUUGGACUCCCAGCUCCCAUCAGCCCCAGCCAGCCUGGCCAAUAGUCAGGUUGAUGGGAGUUGCAGUCAAACAGUGGCUGGGGACCCAAGGUUGAAGAACACUCUAAAAAUGCAGGAGCCAGUGUUGUGUAGAGGUUAAACUAUUUAUUAAGAACAUGGAGGCCCGAGUCAAAUUCUCAGCCAGUUCUGUGGCUCACUGGGUGAACUUGGGCCAGAUGCCAUCUCACCAUGCUAGAGAAACAGUGGGUAACCAUUUUGCAGGCCAAUGGCAAAUUCCCUUGUGGGAAAUCAUCAUCAGCCUGAAUAGCACAGCUGGUUAGGAUGUGGUGCUGAUAGUGCCAAGGUUGCUGGUUCGAUUCCCGUAGGGGACAGCUGCAUAUUCCUGCAUUACAGGGAACUGGACUAGAUGAUCAUUUCCAACUCUACAAUUCUAUGGUUCUAUGAAACUUCCUGGGGCCACUAGGCAGAUGGGUGCCAAAAUUGAAAAGAAAAAUGGUGAAACACACACACCAAACAUUCAUUCAGUUAUCUCUGCUCCCCCUUCUCUCUCUCUCUGCUGAUACCUCUAAUGUGGGGGGGGGGGGGCAGACAGGGUAACAAUUUUGGCCACAUAAACAAUAGCACUAUCUCCUAAUGUAUUGGUAUAUAGGGUUACCACAGGGUGCCUGUGUUUGCUGAUUGAAGUUUUUCUUUUAUUCACGAUUGGUAGGCUGCAUGCUCUGCAAAACUAUGAGUUAAAAAGAAACCAAGGCAAUCUCCUCCUUCCUCACCCUGUGAUAACAGAAGAUGAAGAAGCCUUCAUCAUUCAGGGAUUUCUGGGCAAUAGACUUGAGGUGCUAAAUUGCUUUCGGUUGAAGCUGAUCGUUGCUACAUCUCAGGUGACAAAAGCAAGGUUGUUCUGUUGCAUUUGGUGUUCAGGGAUUCUUGGCACAGCAGAGAAUCCAGCACAGAAGAUCUGAAGUUCAUCCAGUAUUGAUUUUGUUACAGUGAAAGAGAAGAGCAGGAUUUUUAACUUCUUUCCUUACUGAGCAUCAUUCCAGCCUUUAAAAAGAACCCUUGAAAGGGAGAAGUAAAGUAAUACUGCCAACAACUCAGCCUACCAAAGUGGAAGGUUUCUCAUCAUCCUAGAAUUCCCUGCCCCAUUAGCCAUAUAUAUAUAUCGUUUUGAUCAUAUAUGAUAGAGGUGAAUGGCCCACCUGGUAAUCAUCAAUUUCAGUUCUGGGUAGGAAUGGAUGUGUAUCAAUCUAUCUCCAGGCUGUGUUGACUUUGCAUAUGUUCAUUCAUAAAUCAGUUCUGUCCUGUUUUCACAUUAGUGAUUUU